GUCCAAGAGGCAACAUGGCCAAAGAGAUGCUGGUGGAAAAUCUUUGGAAGGAGGAAUUGGAGAGUAAGAGGGGGAUCGGCACAGGAUGAAUGAUGGCACUUGGUUUGAAGACUCCGAAAAUGUUUUUCAAGGUGGCAGUAUGUGAAGAAGCAGUGACUCUUUGAAAGACCGUGAUGCACCGAAGAAAUGGAAUGGAAUGGACAGAUGAGGUACAUGACAUUGACAUGGUAACGGCUAAUGGCACAUUUGAGCAGAAUCUUCAGCAGGAGUUGGCUUCCUGGCAGAAAUGGGGGAUCGGCACAGGAUGAAUGAUGGCACUUGGUUUGAAGACUCCGAAAAUGUUUUCAAGGUGGCAGCAUGUGAAGAAGUAGUGACUUUUUGAAAGACUGAGGUGCAAUGAAGAAAUGGAAAGGAAUGGAGUGGACAGAUGAGAUUGAUGAUUGAAUGUUGGCAGAUCCUCAUCUCGUGAUUGUGACCUAAGGAGUUGAUCUUCCAUUUCAAGACUCGAGAUUACCAAGGGGGUGUGCUACACCUUGUGGUUAUAUAUAGCAGGGUUUUGAAACUGAUGCGUCUUGAAAUUGGACGUCUUGAAACGACUGAGGAUUACAAGGUGCUCCAUUUGCUUGUUGAAUAUUGAGUGGAAACUGAUAACCCUCAAGGUAUCUCCAAAGCUGGUCUGGAAAGCUUGUUACUAUAGAAUUGUUCCUGCUGGUGCAUGUUGCUAAUUCCAAUUCUACAGCAAACCACUUGUAGCUAUAGUAGGGCUGGCAACACUAGAAAUUCUAAGCCUUUUACAGAUCAGAUGGUAUGAGUCUCUGAAUAUCUUGAUGCAGAUGGACUUUGAAGGCUUUUGAACUAUUGGAUGAACUCCUGUGAAGAAUACGUACUGUGGGUUAUGAAUAUUGAUCAUUAACUACAGUCUGGUGUCCCUUUUUUUUUUUUAUAUUGUGCAUAUGAAGUUUGACAAAUGUUCAUUUGCUGUUCAAUAAAAAAAAAAAAAAAAAAAAAA
Molecule: long non-coding RNA, 1009 nt
Filed under: Penaeus japonicus
Lineage: Eukaryota; Metazoa; Arthropoda; Malacostraca; Decapoda; Penaeidae
Description: uncharacterized LOC122258762, transcript variant X2
Source: RNAcentral